UGAAUACGAGAUGCUACGGCGUCGAAGCAGUCUAUGUCAUACUUCCAAGAAAAGCUCGCACUGUCAUAAACAAAUAAUGCCUGUACCAUAACCGACACAGGUGGGUAGGUAGAGUAUACUAAGGGGCGCGAGAUAACUCUCACUAAGGAACUCGGCAAAAUGACUCCGUAACUUCGGGAGAAGGAGUGCCUUAUUUAUAAGGUUGCAAUAACAAGAUCCAAGCAACUGUUUAUCAAAAACACAGGUCUCCGCUAAGUCGUAAGACGAUGUAUGGGGGCUGACGCCUGCCCAGUGCCAGAAGGUUAAAGAAGUUGGUUAGCAUUCGCGAAGCUGAUAACUGAAGCCCUGGUGAACGGCGGCCGUAACAAUAACGGUCCUAAGGUAGCGAAAUUACUUGUCGGGUAAGUUCCGACCCGCACGAAAGGCGUAAUGAUUUGGAUACUGUCUCGGAGAGGGGCUCGGUGAAAUAGACUUGUCUGUGAAGAUGCGGACUACCUGCACCCGGACAGAAAGACCCUAUGAAGCUUUACUGUAACUUGAGAUUGAAAUUGGACUUUACUUGCGCAGUAUAGGUGGGAGGCGUUGAUAAUAUUCUUGCGGGAUUAUUUGAGCCAUCAGUGAGAUACCACUCUUGUAAUGUUAGAUUUCUAACUUUGUAUCAUUAUCUGGUCAAAGGACAGUUUCAGGCGGGCAGUUUGACUGGGGCGGUCGCCUCCUAAACGGUAACGGAGGCGCACAAAGGUUUCCUCUGAACGGGUAGAAAUCGUAUCUAGAGUGUAAAGGCAUAAGGAAGCUUGACUGUGAGACCUACAAGUCGAGCAGGGACGAAAGUCGGUCUUAGUGAUCUGACGGUGCUGAGUGGAAAGGCCGUCACUCAACGGAUAAAAGUUACUCUAGGAUAACAGGCUGAUCUCCCCCAAGAGUUCACAUCGACGGGGAGGUUUGGCACCUCGAUGUCGGCUCAUCGCAUCCUGGGGCGGUAGUACGUCCCAAGGGUUGGGCUGUUCGCCCAUGAAAGCGGUACGCGAGCUGGGUUCAGAACGUCGUGAGACAGUUCGGUCCAUAUCCGGUGUAGGCGUUAGAAUAUUGAGAGGAGCCUUCUUUAGUACGAGAGGACCGAGAAGGACAUACCUCUGGUGUACCAGUUAUCGUGCCAACGGUAAACGCUGGGUAGCUAUGUAUGGAGUGGAUAACCGCUGAAAGCAUCUAAGUGGGAAGCCCACCUCAAGAUAAGUAUUCUCAU
RNAcentral lists this ribosomal RNA (1243 nucleotides) under metagenome. RNAcentral describes it as "bacterial LSU rRNA". It matches the Rfam family "Bacterial large subunit ribosomal RNA", at positions 1564 to 2817 of the family's 2925-position model. The record is from RNAcentral.